Long non-coding RNA from Canis lupus familiaris (dog), 1939 nucleotides. RefSeq lists it as uncharacterized. NCBI's taxonomy places the organism in Eukaryota, Metazoa, Chordata, Mammalia, Carnivora, Canidae. The record is from RefSeq and is a predicted model, not a curated record. The transcript has 5 exons.
UCCAUAAAUCCACUCUUCACUGUGUUGCUAGAGUGGGAGCUUAUUACUCCACUGGUCAAACCCUACACCCGCUGAAUAAAGUUCAGGUUUGUUAACAUGCAUCACCAGCUCCCUGGCUACCUCUUUAGCUUCCUCGCUCCAUCCCCCGCAGCAUAAUUCAUUCUCCUGCAAUCCUGAGUUGUGUAUAGUUCAGGCCAUACUGUGCUUUCUCUUGGAACGCCCUUUGCUUCUGCUCUGACCUAUUUACCCAGCAACACUCCGCUAAGUUGUCAUUCUUCACGGAACUUUUAUGGAACUCCUUUGUGUUGUGCUAACUGUCCAGCCUUUGAGCAUUCUGAACAUAACCCUCUCAAUUUAAAACACGGUAUUUAUUGCUUUGUGUCACGGUCUCUCUCAUUAGACUUUGCGAAGGCCAGGGGCCUCACAGCAAUCAUUUUCAUACCUACAAGUAUGCGUUCACUGUUUGUUCAACCGUUACUGAACUUAUUAGGCAAAGGUGAAGAUGAUGAGCUCAGGACACACUGCUCUGUUGCCUCAAAGUAACUCUACUGACACCACAGCACUGGAACCAAGGAUGCACAUGAGAAGGCAAAAGCUGUUGAGAUUAUUGAUGAGCUGGACAUAUGGCAUCUUUAGCACAGGGCUCAGCCAGCCUUGCCAGUGGGAACCUAGUGGACUUGUUAAUUUCCUCCACCUUAGAUACAACUAAUAUCUCAUGCCAACCAUUUGGGAAAAUGCUGUCAGAGGCAAAGAGGGCAUAUAAACAUGCAGAGGGAGUCCUCAAACUGCAGAUAUUCAUUGGUAAGUUGAUUUUUGAAAAUUUGGAACACAUUUUACCCGGAAAAAUAAUCUUUUAAGUGGUGACUGGAUUUUUAGGCCAGUCUGCAGAUAGCCUAUUUGCACUUAUAGAGUAAGAGUGACCAAAAAAAAUACACCAUCACCUAUGGUUGUCUUCAUGGGAAACUGUGUUACAGACUUCUCCUGGCUUUAAAAUCACAUGUUCUAAUAAUAAAAUUAUUGUGCGUGGAGACAUACAUAUCACACAGACAUACAUACCUACACAUAUAUGAUAUAUAUGUAUGUUACAUAUUGAAAGUAAUCCUCUUUGAGGGUAAAAUGGGGAAAAUUAAUUAUAGAGCCGUAUGGGAUUAAUAACAUUCAUGUCUAUUUUAUACAUUUCUAGAAUGACUGCAUUAUUAUAAUGAGAAGAAAUCACUUAGAAACCUAGGUCAAGAAAAGGUUAGAUGGCAUAUAUUUAAAAGGGUUGGCAAAUUGUGGCCCACAGGCCAAAUCUGGCUCAGUGCUUCUCUCUGUAACCAUGAGCUAAGAAUGGUUUCUAAAUUCUGAAAUGGUUGAAAAAAAGAUAAGAAAAAUAUUUUGUGAUGCAUGAAAAAAAUCAUAUGAAAUGAAAUUCAAGUUCUAGAAUGUUCUAUUGUCCAAAAAAGUUUACGUGGAUCAUGGCCACGCCCAUGUGUUUUCAUUUUAUCUAUGGCAGACUUUUAGUGCUACAGCAGCAGAGCCGAGCAGUUGCAACAGAGACCAUGUGGCCUGCAAACCUGAAGAUAUUUACCAUCUGGUCUUUUUCUUUUUCCCCUUUUUAACCAUCUGGUCUUUUUUACAGAAAAAGUUUGCGAUUCCUGUACAAUAAUAUUAACUUUUUUCUGAAAGAUGGCUUCAUGGAGAACCUUUACGUACUAUCUCCCACCUUUCUCUGUUAAAUGCUUUACUAUCAGACUAUAACGGGGUGUAAUGUGUUCAUUCGACCAACACUUCGAACAUUCUGUGGACCAGGCUCUGGACAUAAAAACUGAAGAAGGAAAACUAAACGUACAUAAGCAAGGUUUUCCUCGCCAAGAACAACAAAGGAUUCAGCCCUACAGAGGAUUUUAUUUGUUUAUGAGAGACACAGACAGAGAGGCAGAGAUACAAGUGGAGGGAG